RNAcentral lists this long non-coding RNA (250 nucleotides) under Elaeis guineensis (African oil palm). Its description in RNAcentral is "long non-coding RNA (EGUI_LNC026470)". The record is from RNAcentral. Lineage: Eukaryota; Viridiplantae; Streptophyta; Magnoliopsida; Arecales; Arecaceae.
GCCCUUGUUAUAAAAGUGAUUUGAAGAAAAAAACAGUUCUCCACGAGUACAAAAUUCUCAGGUUGGCCACCAAUAAUUGUAUAAUUAAUACCGCCGAUGUGUCGGAGAAGAACGUAUAGUUGGAAGGCAUCUCUUUUUCUCAUUCUCUCUGUGGAGCUGUAGAUAAAACCAGCGGCUGAGGUUAAAACUUGAUAUACAUUGUUGAUCCCAUAUCUAAUUGCUUAAACUGCUGGAGUCAUUGGUUGCUAAG